Molecule: ribosomal RNA, 207 nt
Filed under: uncultured bacterium
Lineage: Bacteria
Description: partial 16S ribosomal RNA
Rfam family: Bacterial small subunit ribosomal RNA
Source: RNAcentral
UGUGCAGGCGGCUCAUUGCGCCCGGCGUGAAAGCCCCCGGCUCAACCGGGGAGGGUCGUCGGGGACGGGUGAGCUUGAGGGUAUCAGGGGCUGGUGGAAUUCCCGGUGUAGUGGUGAAAUGCGUAGAUAUCGGGAGGAACACCCGUGGCGAAGGCGGCCAGCUGGGAUACACCUGACGCUGAGACACGAAGGCGUGGGGAGCGAACG